ACAUAAAUUUAAUUAUAUGCCAAACUUUGAUAUUAAAGCACCACAUGUUAGUGAAGUCAAAUAGAAUCCAAACUUUACAGGUUAUUUGUUUAAAUACAAAAAAAAAAAUUUCAGGGUUACUAUUAAAAUUUGGAACUUGAAAAAUAAAUAUAUUUAAUAAAUGUAUUACAAUAAACUAUUUUGCAUAUUUUAGGUAGUAACACUGAACGAAAAUAAUAAUGAAAAUCUCAAAAAGUUUUUAGUUAAUAUGAAGAAAGAAUUUAAUGAUGCGAAUACAACAUCAUUCACUUUAGGUGAGGUUCUAAUAAAAGUAUUAUUCUACAAGACACAAUUUAAGAAUACUGACUUUGAUACACGUUAUGAAAUUCAUCAUAUACUAUAUCAAAUUUCACAAUUGUAUUCUCCAAAUUCGAUAUAUCAUUUAAAUACGUUUUACAAAUAUUAAAUGUAUUACAGUAGGAAAUAUUAUUUUUAAUAAUAAUAAAUAGUAUUAUUUUUUUAAA
Long non-coding RNA from Daktulosphaira vitifoliae (grape phylloxera), 503 nucleotides. RefSeq lists it as uncharacterized. The transcript is spliced from 2 exons. The record is from RefSeq and is a predicted model, not a curated record. Lineage: Eukaryota; Metazoa; Arthropoda; Insecta; Hemiptera; Phylloxeridae.